UACGUAGGGGGCAAGCGUUAUCCGGAUUUAUUGGGUUUAAAGGGUGCGCAGGCGGCGUGUCAAGUCAGCGGUAAAAUGUCGGGGCUCAACCCCGGCCUGCCGUCGGAACUGGGUGCCUUGAGUGGGCGAGAAGUAUGCGGAAUGCGCGGUGUAGCGGUGAAAUGCAUAGAUAUCGCGCAGAACUCCGAUUGCGAAGGCAGCAUGCCGGCUCCACACUGACGCUGAGGCACGAAAGCGUGGGUAUCGAACAGG
Molecule: ribosomal RNA, 252 nt
Filed under: uncultured Bacteroidales bacterium
Lineage: Bacteria; Pseudomonadati; Bacteroidota; Bacteroidia; Bacteroidales
Description: partial 16S ribosomal RNA
Rfam family: Bacterial small subunit ribosomal RNA
Source: RNAcentral